Molecule: long non-coding RNA, 2188 nt
Organism: Neopsephotus bourkii (Bourke's parrot)
Lineage: Eukaryota; Metazoa; Chordata; Aves; Psittaciformes; Psittacidae
Exons: 2
Source: RefSeq, a predicted model, not a curated record
CGAAGCGGCGGAUUCACCGCAUCCGGACAGAGCGGCCGGACGUGCGGCUCCCCUCCUUUGUUGAGGGAGUCUGUCCUCGGCGGCGGGGGCAGGAGAGUGCGGAGGUCGGGGUGGCCCCAGAGAGAGGAGCCGGCGUCGGCAGCAGCAGCGGGGGGCUCUGCCCGGCGCGGCCAGGAAUAGCCAGACUAGAAAAAAGCACAAGAUCUUUGCAACUGUCUUUUCUAUUAACCACAGGAAUACAAAGCUGAAAAGUAAUAAAGUUUUCUUCUUGUUUGCAGAUCAGUAAGGCAUUCAGUUUGAACCAUUCAGUGUAAAUAAAUAUUGCUACAAUUUUAAUACGGAAAAACUUGAGUGGUGGUGCAGUGGAGUUUGCAAGAAUGGGGUUUACAACAAAGCUUGUUGUAAACAACCAUUGAAAGAUGGAUAAAGUGUGUUUACACAAUAAAUCAAGCUCUUCCUAUCCUCAGAGUAUUUCUAUGUAAUAAAAAAUACUUUUUGGUCAAGCAUUUCUUUAGGUGGAUGCAGAUACACUGAGAGUGUUUUUACUGACAUUUCCCUGAUGACAAUAGAUGCAACAGAGAACAUGUUUUUUUUCCCACUGAAACCAAGAACAGCUUAUCAGGUGUCCAGCUGCAGAUGUAUGAUGACAAACAUUUUCAAUGCUCCAUUCAUCAACAUUUAAAAAUGUUGCAGCUCUGCCACCGUGUACAUGUUUAUAUAGAAAAGUCCUUCAAAAUACAAAGCUAAAUUUUUAUUAUCUGAAAUGGAGUACAGAAUGGAUUGCUUUGCUUGCUGAGGCUUUUGCAUUAGGUUUUUAAAAGAUGGCCCUGAUAUCAGCUGUGUUACUCACAACCAAAGGGGUUUAUAUGCUAGGAUAGUCUGAAAUACUCUUGUAGCACUUGCUGCACCCAUGUUUUGCUCAGCUUUUGUGUCCUGGUAAAUGAGAUUUUGGAGAUCAGUAAAUAAACCAUCAGCAGAUAAUGGAUCUGGGGAUCAGUAGAUAAAUCAUCACAGGUCAUGGCGCAGGUUUUGCCACAGUAGGAAAUGUGGGCAGUACCUCCUGUCCCGGAUACACUCAGAACUCCCACUGAAAUCAACAUGAGUUUGGGAAGCAAUGAAGACAUUGCCAAGGCCUGAAUAGUGCUUGUAGGCUGAGAUGAGAGGUUGUUCCAGACAAUUGUUCUAAAGUUUCUGUUGUCGGCUUUAGUAGAGGCAAUAUUUUUCUCUGAGUAAUUCACACUCAUUUACAGCUAUUUUCAGGUAUUAAAUGUCAGCUUUUCAUAAGAAAGGCAAAACUGACUUGUCUGCUUGAUGCCAAAUAACAUAAUUUACCUAAAUUACAGUUAUUAUAUUUGUAAUUUUAAAAAAACCCUUCUUUUGUUAUGUCUACAAAGCUGAAAUAUUUUAACACAAAUUUUCUUUUUCCACAGAGUGAAAAGCUGCCAUUUGGAUAAAGCCUAUGAACAGCAUCCAUUCAAAGGGAUGCACCAGGGGAAUUACGGUUCAGGCAAACUAUAGGCUGACUGAAUUUUUAAACUUCUGGAGCCAGCUGUAUCCCUCAAAAGAAGGGCAAAAGAACUAGGUCUGCAUCUGAUGCAAACUACACUAUCUUUAUUACUGUCAGGUGAAAUGCAGUGAUAGAUGCAAGUUUAAGAUUUGACUGCAUGAGGCUGCCUUACCAUCACACAGUCCACAUGCAUGGUAAGCACCUCACAUCUUUUUGUGUAAAGCUGGGUUCUGGGACCAAUGAAUUCCUACUUAUGUGACUUAAUUGGUGUUUCAGUUUUUAUAAAAGUAUUUUUUGCCAUGUUAAUUUUUCCCUUUCAGUAAGGUCAUAGUACAAACAAUAACUUUCUAGGAAGUAAUUGUCUCUCCUUUCAGUUUUUCAUCAGAAGUUUGUUUGCUAAAUCAACCUGAUUUACUAAUUAACAUCCGGGUCUUAUGUGCACGCUAUGCACACACAAUAAUUCCACAAUUAUAUUAUAUUAGCUAUUUAAGGGCUCAUCUAAUUUUACUCUAUACAUAACCCUUGAAAAUGAGAUCUGCAUAAAGUAAUUUAAAAUAGACAGGGCAAACUAGAAGUAUAUAAUUAUGUAUCCCUCUGAAAUAAAUACAUUUUCAGUUUUCAAUUUCCAUAGCUGACUUCAUUGGAACAUAAUUUAGCCUCUGAAUAUAUGAAUUAAUUAAA